RNAcentral lists this ribosomal RNA (247 nucleotides) under uncultured bacterium. RNAcentral's name for it is "partial 16S ribosomal RNA". It matches the Rfam family "Bacterial small subunit ribosomal RNA", at positions 109 to 353 of the family's 1533-position model. The record is from RNAcentral.
AGUAACGCGUGAGUAACCUGCCUUCAAGAGGGGGAUAACAUUCUGAAAAGAAUGCUAAUACCGCAUGACAUAUCGGAAUCACAUGGUUCUGAUAUCAAAGAUUUUAUCGCUUGAAGAUGGACUCGCGUCCGAUUAGUUAGUUGGUGAGGUAACGGCUCACCAAGACCGCGAUCGGUAGCCGGACUGAGAGGUUGAACGGCCACAUUGGGACUGAGACACGGCCCAGACUCCUACGGGAGGCAGCAUG